This is a long non-coding RNA of Heterocephalus glaber (naked mole-rat), 1160 nucleotides long. RefSeq lists it as uncharacterized. The record is from RefSeq and is a predicted model, not a curated record. NCBI's taxonomy places the organism in Eukaryota, Metazoa, Chordata, Mammalia, Rodentia, Bathyergidae.
UGGGGGGGGGUGGACAGUGACAUGCAGAUGUGGACCUCAUUGUCCCAUGCCACUGCUACAGCCCCUUCUAAUUGGAGGAGAAACCCGUGUUCUCCGACAGGAAUAAAACUAGUUCUCUGAAGCCUGUGAAAGAUGUCAUUCUUCCUGUCUUGGGCUGUGAUGCUGCUGUACCCUUGGUUUUCUCUCUUGGGCAGUCUGAUGGUGGCCUGGGCUCCUAGUUUGGAAGGUGAGGACUUGCCCUGGUGGAGGUGAGGGCACUGAAGAGAGAGAGUGUGUGGGGAGACCCAAGGGGGCAGAGCUGAGAUUGCGAUAACACAGUACGGUGAAGCACUGGCUGGCGGAGGGCAGGGCGCACAGGCUGGGGGAUGCCCAGUGGCUGCUGUGGAGGGGACUCUCCUGUCAGGUAGGCCUGGGUCCCAAUAGCUGAGACUUUUCAGUCCCCAACACCUCUGGGGAGCCUGAAAACAGCUGCUGCCAACACCACACGCCCCUUCCCUCCUCUGAGAAGCAGAGUGGGGAGGAGACCUUUGGUGGGCUGAACGUAGGCACAGGCUGGGGGUAGUGGGAAGUUCCUAUGGCUCUAGAGUUGUCACCUUUUUCCCCAGGGCACCUCCGUGCUUAAGAGCUGGAGAGGGUCACAGGAGUGGCUCUGUGUGCAGGGCCCAGGGCCAGCCCUCAUCACAGGGUCACAUUUCUACCAAGCCUGCCUAUUCCCUUUGGGAGAACAAAAGCUGCGAAGGUGUCAAGGGCUGCCAAUGGAGAGACUCUGGAGCCAUCGGCCCUUAAAGACCUGCUUGCCCAGCACAGCAGCCAGGGAAGGUGCCCAGUUACUUCCUAUGAAAGUGGAGCAGACUGGCACAUCAGCCUUCCUGGGAUCAUUUGACAAAUGUUUCUGGAACGAUUUUCUUGUUUUGGGAGAAGCCCCUGCAGGCAGACAGACUCGGGAGCCCUUUCUAGGUUGCAUUUCUAAAGGACUUUAUUGUCAUCCUGCUUCAAUACCACAGUAAAAAGGGACCUGCAAGCUCCAGGCCUGUACCAUGUGUCACCACAGCAAAAACGACCCACUUGAACAUGUUUCCCACCCCACCCCCAACCUACUCACAAGAUAAAUAUGUGUUACAAAUUUUUUAAAAAGAAAACAGAAUAAAUUAAUAACUUAA